This 203-nucleotide long non-coding RNA is filed under the name Hordeum vulgare. RNAcentral's name for it is "long non-coding RNA (HVUL_LNC010074)". The record is from RNAcentral. Lineage: Eukaryota; Viridiplantae; Streptophyta; Magnoliopsida; Poales; Poaceae.
CUUCUUCUUCUUCUUCUUCUCUCCUUCUUCUCUCCUCCUUCUUAUUCUCCCUCCUUCUUCUCCUUCUUCUUCUCCUCCUUCUUCUCCUCCUUAUUCUCCUUCUUCUUCUCCUCUUCUCCUCCUUCUCCUUCUCCUUCUCCUUCUCCUCCUCCUCCUCCUCCUCCUCCUUAUUCUUGUUUUUCUUCUCCUUCUUAUCUUCUUGC